CAUAGAGUGAUCAAAUCUCUCUGAAAUCCCUCUGAUGUUGAGGUUAGAGUCAAAAGAGGCGAAGGGUAAACGGAACUGUGAGGCUGCCUCACAGCAAAGCUUGGAUCCUUGCUUGUGUUAACCAACUGGAAGAUUGCUGUCAGGCACAGUGUGUUAGCUAUGUGGAAAGAGUAGCUCAGCUCCAAGGACGUCAAGAUGCUGGAAAUUCUGAGAGAACUUGACGUGGACAACGUGACCAGGCUCUGCUGUAGUUUUCACAGAACUAAAAUGUCAUUUUCCACAGGAUGGGGAGAUCUUUUACAAAAAGUAAGAGUGGACCAGUUUAAUUUUGCCUUUGAUGUGUCACUACUGCAAGGGAAACAACAAACAAAACACAAACAACAACAAAAAACCCACCAAAUAAACAAACGUGCCUUCA
Non-coding RNA from Peromyscus maniculatus bairdii (prairie deer mouse), 418 nucleotides. NCBI's taxonomy places the organism in Eukaryota, Metazoa, Chordata, Mammalia, Rodentia, Cricetidae. The record is from RefSeq and is a predicted model, not a curated record.